This 2111-nucleotide ribosomal RNA is filed under the name Salmonella enterica subsp. enterica serovar Newport. Its description in RNAcentral is "partial 23S ribosomal RNA". It matches the Rfam family "Bacterial large subunit ribosomal RNA", at positions 711 to 2803 of the family's 2925-position model. Lineage: Bacteria; Pseudomonadati; Pseudomonadota; Gammaproteobacteria; Enterobacterales; Enterobacteriaceae. The record is from RNAcentral.
AGACCCGAAACCCGGUGAUCUAGCCAUGGGCAGGUUGAAGGUUGGGUAACACUAACUGGAGGACCGAACCGACUAAUGUUGAAAAAUUAGCGGAUGACCUGUGGCUGGGGGUGAAAGGCCAAUCAAACCGGGAGAUAGCUGGUUCUCCCCGAAAGCUAUUUAGGUAGCGCCUCGUGAAUUCAUCUCCGGGGGUAGAGCACUGUUUCGGCUAGGGGGCCAUCCCGGCUUACCAACCCGAUGCAAACUGCGAAUACCGGAGAAUGUUAUCACGGGAGACACACGGCGGGUGCUAACGUCCGUCGUGAAGAGGGAAACAACCCAGACCGCCAGCUAAGGUCCCAAAGUCAUGGUUAAGUGGGAAACGAUGUGGGAAGGCCCAGACAGCCAGGAUGUUGGCUUAGAAGCAGCCAUCAUUUAAAGAAAGCGUAAUAGCUCACUGGUCGAGUCGGCCUGCGCGGAAGAUGUAACGGGGCUAAACCAUGCACCGAAGCUGCGGCAGCGACACUAUGUGUUGUUGGGUAGGGGAGCGUUCUGUAAGCCUGUGAAGGUGUGUCGUGAGGCAUGCUGGAGGUAUCAGAAGUGCGAAUGCUGACAUAAGUAACGAUAAAGCGGGUGAAAAGCCCGCUCGCCGGAAGACCAAGGGUUCCUGUCCAACGUUAAUCGGGGCAGGGUGAGUCGACCCCUAAGGCGAGGCCGAAAGGCGUAGUCGAUGGGAAACGGGUUAAUAUUCCCGUACUUGGUGUUACUGCGAAGGGGGGACGGAGAAGGCUAUGUUGGCCGGGCGACGGUUGUCCCGGUUUAAGCGUGUAGGUGUGUGUUCCAGGUAAAUCCGGUUCACUUUAACACUGAGGCGUGACGACGAGGCACUACGGUGCUGAAGCAACAAAUGCCCUGCUUCCAGGAAAAGCCUCUAAGCAUCAGGUAACAUCAAAUCGUACCCCAAACCGACACAGGUGGUCAGGUAGAGAAUACCAAGGCGCUUGAGAGAACUCGGGUGAAGGAACUAGGCAAAAUGGUGCCGUAACUUCGGGAGAAGGCACGCUGACACGUAGGUGAAGUGAUUUACUCAUGGAGCUGAAGUCAGUCGAAGAUACCAGCUGGCUGCAACUGUUUAUUAAAAACACAGCACUGUGCAAACACGAAAGUGGACGUAUACGGUGUGACGCCUGCCCGGUGCCGGAAGGUUAAUUGAUGGGGUCAGCGCAAGCGAAGCUCCUGAUCGAAGCCCCGGUAAACGGCGGCCGUAACUAUAACGGUCCUAAGGUAGCGAAAUUCCUUGUCGGGUAAGUUCCGACCUGCACGAAUGGCGUAAUGAUGGCCAGGCUGUCUCCACCCGAGACUCAGUGAAAUUGAACUCGCUGUGAAGAUGCAGUGUACCCGCGGCAAGACGGAAAGACCCCGUGAACCUUUACUAUAGCUUGACACUGAACAUUGAGCCUUGAUGUGUAGGAUAGGUGGGAGGCUUUGAAGUGUGGACGCCAGUCUGCGUGGAGCCGACCUUGAAAUACCACCCUUUAAUGUUUGAUGUUCUAACGUGGACCCGUGAUCCGGGUUGCGGACAGUGUCUGGUGGGUAGUUUGACUGGGGCGGUCUCCUCCUAAAGAGUAACGGAGGAGCACGAAGGUUGGCUAAUCCUGGUCGGACAUCAGGAGGUUAGUGCAAUGGCAUAAGCCAGCUUGACUGCGAGCGUGACGGCGCGAGCAGGUGCGAAAGCAGGUCAUAGUGAUCCGGUGGUUCUGAAUGGAAGGGCCAUCGCUCAACGGAUAAAAGGUACUCCGGGGAUAACAGGCUGAUACCGCCCAAGAGUUCAUAUCGACGGCGGUGUUUGGCACCUCGAUGUCGGCUCAUCACAUCCUGGGGCUGAAGUAGGUCCCAAGGGUAUGGCUGUUCGCCAUUUAAAGUGGUACGCGAGCUGGGUUUAGAACGUCGUGAGACAGUUCGGUCCCUAUCUGCCGUGGGCGCUGGAGAACUGAGGGGGGCUGCUCCUAGUACGAGAGGACCGGAGUGGACGCAUCACUGGUGUUCGGGUUGUCAUGCCAAUGGCACUGCCCGGUAGCUAAAUGCGGAAGAGAUAAGUGCUGAAAGCAUCUAAGCACGAAACUUGCCCCGAG